AGGGGUUUGGUGUAAUUGGUAGCACUCCGGUCUCCAAAACCGAUGUAGGUGAGGGUUCAAGUCCUUCAACCCCUGCCA
This 78-nucleotide transfer RNA is filed under the name Dysosmobacter segnis. Its description in RNAcentral is "tRNA-Trp". It matches the Rfam family "tRNA". Rfam says of the family: Transfer RNA (tRNA) molecules are approximately 80 nucleotides in length. Their secondary structure includes four short double-helical elements and three loops (D, anti-codon, and T loops). Further hydrogen bonds mediate the characteristic L-shaped molecular structure. tRNAs have two regions of fundamental functional importance: the anti-codon, which is responsible for specific mRNA codon recognition, and the 3' end, to which the tRNAs corresponding amino acid is attached (by aminoacyl-tRNA synthetases). tRNAs cope with the degeneracy of the genetic code in two manners: having more than one tRNA (with a specific anti-codon) for a particular amino acid; and 'wobble' base-pairing, i.e. permitting non-standard base-pairing at the 3rd anti-codon position. The record is from RNAcentral. Lineage: Bacteria; Bacillati; Bacillota; Clostridia; Eubacteriales; Oscillospiraceae. RNAcentral also lists the same sequence under 2 other names.